Hemiscyllium ocellatum (epaulette shark) is the source of this 1507-nucleotide long non-coding RNA. RefSeq lists it as uncharacterized. Lineage: Eukaryota; Metazoa; Chordata; Chondrichthyes; Orectolobiformes; Hemiscylliidae. The record is from RefSeq and is a predicted model, not a curated record. The transcript has 4 exons.
CUAGAAGCUGGACUUUAAAGUAACAAAAUAUGUAUGAUUAGAACCACAAGCAAGAAGACACACAGAGAAAGGAGAAAAGCCUAAACAAAGCAGCUGAUUGAUGAGUAUUUCCAAUCUUUGAAUUCUAAAUUCCAAAAUGCUGGUUGCAUUGUGCAAAAGGUGAACGUUGGAGGAGGCAAUUUUAGCUUAAUUGCUACCUCUCUCAAAUGAAGAUGAAUUCAUCUUGGUACCUGUUCACUUGUUCCGGCCUAGCCAACUAGGAAUAUUGGAUGAGAAUCAACAAUGCUCUGUCUUCUGGCUUUGAAAAUGAUUCUUUGACAACUUUUGUGCACCAAGCAUUCAUAAUAUUUCUGAGGAAGGAAACAACUGGAAAGCAGAUGAGGUUUUUGUCCCGUUUGUGAAGUGUGGUGAACAGAUGGCGAAUGCACUAGAUAUUUGCAUUUGAACAAACAUUCUAAUCAGUUGGUAAAAUUGCCACAUAGAUGUGUAAACUGAAGGUUUGUGUGAAGAUGUAAUCUGCAAAUAUUUCUGUUUAUUUAAAUAUCAUUGUUAGUACCUUGUUUACUAAACUUAAAUUACAUGAUAUUCUGUUUUAUGCAAUGUAAGCAUAAGUCCUUGCAGCAAUGGUAAUUAUAUGUAUAAUUGUUGAUAAAACAAGUUCUCAGUAUUUUAUAACUUUAUAAUAUCCCAAUUCAGGUAAAUUCUUUAACUGAUGGGGCAUAUGUACGCUAUCAAACAUCCAUAUUUAUGCGUAUGCACAUCAGCAAACAUAUCUUAUCAAUUUUUGCUAUUCUAAAUGAUCCAAAUGAUUUUAUUAAAAUUGAAAUAGCUUGAUUCAAUUUAUCGCACUGUAAUUAAUUCCUCUAUCCUCAUUAGAAGCACUGCAGUAUCAGCACUGGGUGUAAUUAUAACACGAUAAGAUCAGGUAGGAAGUUACCACUAUAAAUGUUGACAGAUGAGUUUAUAAAAGAAGCACAUAAAAUAGGACAGAAGGUAUGACUUUUAACUGAUGAAAUAUACCUAAUUAUUUCCACAUCUAAUUCCAACACCUCAAAUCUACACUUGAUUUUAGACUACAUGUUCAGCUUAUAUGAGAAGCCUGUUAAAAUCCUACAUUUGCGUACACUCCAUGUCAACAGUUCAGUUAUAAGUUGUGAUGUCCUAAAUUAUGAUGGGAAGCAUCAUCGUAAGCCCAUCAUUCCAUCAUUAUACAGUACUUGGGAAAGAUGUGAUUUAUGCAAUGAGACAUUGAUUCAGACAAUUUUUAUCAUAGAUAUGGGAAAAAAAAUCACAAAAACAUUAAAAUAAGGCCAUUAUGUGCAGCUUUAAAACUUGUGUUAAUGUCUGCGCAUGCUUGACCAAAUAUCUCUGCCUUCCAAAUUCAGGACUUCAUUUGGCCUUGAAACCCACAUGCUGUGAUAUGUCCAUGGGCAUGUAUACGUAUGUACACAUGUAUGUAUAUAAUAUGCUUAUAAUAUAUGAACACACACAUUUACGUACUCUAAAU